UAUCACCUACGGGGGGCAGCAGUCGGGAAUAUUGCGCAAUGGAGGAAACUCUGACGCAGUGACGCCGCGUAUAGGACGAAGGUCUUCGGAUUGUAAACUAUUGUCGUUAGGGAAGAGAAAGGACAGUACCUAAGGAGGAAGCUCCGGCUAACUACGUGCUAGCAGCCGCGGUAAUACGUAGGGAGCAAGCGUUAUCCGGAUUUAUUGGGUGUAAAGGGUGCGUAGUCGGG
RNAcentral lists this ribosomal RNA (230 nucleotides) under uncultured bacterium. RNAcentral's name for it is "partial 16S ribosomal RNA". It matches the Rfam family "Bacterial small subunit ribosomal RNA", at positions 333 to 579 of the family's 1533-position model. The record is from RNAcentral.